This 443-nucleotide ribosomal RNA is filed under the name uncultured bacterium. RNAcentral describes it as "partial 16S ribosomal RNA". It matches the Rfam family "Bacterial small subunit ribosomal RNA", at positions 338 to 795 of the family's 1533-position model. The record is from RNAcentral.
CCUACGGGAGGCAGCAGUGGGGAAUAUUGGACAAUGGGGGGAACCCUGAUCCAGCGACGCCGCGUGAGUGAAGAAGUAUUUCGGUAUGUAAAGCUCUAUCAGCAGGGAAGAAAGAAAUGACGGUACCUGACUAAGAAGCCCCGGCUAACUACGUGCCAGCAGCCGCGGUAAUACGUAGGGGGCAAGCGUUAUCCGGAUUUACUGGGUGUAAAGGGAGCGUAGACGGCGAUGCAAGUCUGAAGUGAAAGGCGGGGGCCCAACCCCCGGACUGCUUUGGAAACUGUAUGGCUGGAGUGCAGGAGAGGUAAGUGGAAUUCCUAGUGUAGCGGUGAAAUGCGUAGAUAUCAGGAGGAACACCGGCGGCGAAGGCGGCCUGCUGGACUGAAACUGACGUUGAGGCUCGAAAGCGUGGGGAGCAAACAGGAUUAGAUACCCCUGUAGUC